RNAcentral lists this unclassified non-coding RNA (343 nucleotides) under Hevea brasiliensis (rubber tree). Lineage: Eukaryota; Viridiplantae; Streptophyta; Magnoliopsida; Malpighiales; Euphorbiaceae. The record is from RNAcentral.
AAAAAAAAAAAUAAUAGGUUAAUGAGAUUUAUUUAUAUGAAUCAUUGAAUUCAUGCAGCUAAAUUUUCACAGUAAGGUGUCAAUUAGUUCACCUUAAGCAUCAGGCAUGUUAAAGGAGUGCCAUCUAUGUUUUGUUUAUCACAUAUCAAAAAUUCGAGUUUAAUUCUUAUUCUUUUGUCACAAGCUUGUAUGAAGGUGUGCCAUUUUCUAUUUAUAUAAUUGGUCUUAAGUCUUUCAAACUUUAUGCUUAUGUGAAAAUUUGACCUGAUAUAAUGAUUAUUUUGUAUUUAAAUUCUUCAUUGCAAAUAGUUGCCACUGGGGUCCAAAAUGUUGCAAAUAAUUG